UACGUAGGGUGCGAGCGUUAAUCGGAAUUACUGGGCGUAAAGCGUGCGCAGGCGGUUCGUUGUGUCCGUCGUGAAAGCCCCGGGCUUAACCUGGGAACUGCGAUGGAAACUCGCGAGCUGGAGUGUGGCAGAGGGGGGUGGAAUUCCGCGUGUAGCAGUGAAAUGCGUAGAGAUGCGGAGGAACACCGAUGGCGAAGGCAGCCCCCUGGGCUAACACUGACGCUCAGGCACGAAAGCGUGGGGAGCAAACAGG
This 253-nucleotide ribosomal RNA is filed under the name uncultured bacterium. RNAcentral's name for it is "partial 16S ribosomal RNA". It matches the Rfam family "Bacterial small subunit ribosomal RNA", at positions 524 to 776 of the family's 1533-position model. The record is from RNAcentral.